CUUAACAAACAAAAUCUCCUGUUCAUUUGUCGGAAGUGAUCACACAUCUUGCUUUGACUGACUUGAUCACUGCCAGAGGGCUUCGAGUGCAAGGACCGCGGCGUUUCUGAGCAAGAAUGCGGCCCGUCUGUUUGAUCACUUAAUCAGCACCAUGGCCAGCUCCAGUGACUUUAAUGAAAAGACGGUAAAUAAAAUCAGUUGGGUCCCUGCCUUCAGAACUGAGCAAAAUGCCAAGAAUGCUCCAAUUAUUUUUUGGCAGGCGUAGCAAUCUAGAUAGUGAGGCUUUCAGCAGUACAGCGACAUCACCAUAUCACGGUGCUGCGGAUGCUUCCGUUUGGAAAAGGCUUUGAACCGAAGGCUCAUCUUCUUAUCUGCUUCAAAGAUCCAGUGUUUCUAUUUGGAAGGGCAACGGCCUGAGGGGGCAGACAUGGCAGAGUCUGGAUACAGUUCUCAAGAUAGCCCAUGGACAGUCCUUCAGACAGGUAUUUCACUUCUGUGCACCUCAUGGGAAGACUGCAUUUGACUUCAGUUACACGUGGAGACCAGAGAAACCAGUGCUACUUAUCUUUGAGCAAUUGAGGUUUUGCGGAGGUGUUGGACAUUGGUUUUGAGACAAUACAAAGAAACUGUUUCCACUGGAAGCAAGCACCGGAGCCAACGGCAAGUCCCAGAGCAGCGAGCCCUCGUGCCACGGAACACCGCGAACAGCGAGCCCCGGCAGCAACAGUGUGUAGAUUGAGAGCCUCCGCAGCAACAAAUGGGGGAGCAGGCCCUGCAGCAGCAACGCGCGGUAACCGGUAGGAGACGGCAGCAAUGGAGGGGCAGGGGCACACUUCAGGCAGCACGGUAUGAGCUGAGAAGCCUGGAGCGGGACUCUGGUGGCGACUUGCUGUAACAGUAGAGGAGGAAAGUUUGGACUCUUAUUUUUACUACGUUAAUGUGAAUGGCACUUACGCACAGCGACUGUACACACUUUUCACUGUAUUUUAUGCUGAAUGCACGUGGCAGUGAAGGACAUGGAGUAACUUUCAAAAUGUGUCCCCGAGUUCUUAAUUUCUGGACAAGAGGAUUUGCACUGAAUUACAUUUCCGUGGCAUUACAGCAAUUCUUUGCCUGAGCCACUAAAUCAAUUGGACCCCAGAUGUGGAAGUCUUGCCGCAAUUGCCGGCGGACUCCAUUCUCACCGGGGGGGAAUUCAAA
Molecule: long non-coding RNA, 1200 nt
Organism: Stegostoma tigrinum
Lineage: Eukaryota; Metazoa; Chordata; Chondrichthyes; Orectolobiformes; Stegostomatidae
Exons: 4
Source: RefSeq, a predicted model, not a curated record